This is a long non-coding RNA of Rhea pennata, 573 nucleotides long. RefSeq lists it as uncharacterized. The record is from RefSeq and is a predicted model, not a curated record. NCBI's taxonomy places the organism in Eukaryota, Metazoa, Chordata, Aves, Rheiformes, Rheidae. The transcript has 3 exons.
CUCGCUGCCCCGGCCGGGGAAGGGGAGCGGGGGUCCCGCGUGGAAAGAGAGGGGGAAAGGCGCGGGGAAACACGGAGCCGGCGUCCGCGGCGCCUGCGGGCGGCGGCGUCACGGGACACGCGUGGGCGGUCUGCUGCCCGCCCCGGCGCAACGCCCGUCGCGGCUGACUUCGUUUCUUUAUUUUGCCAGCUGUAAAUCCUCAGCUGCGGAAGGAAAGCAGGCGUUUUUAAAGACGGACUUCUUGGAAGGCUUUCCCAAGGGAGCGCUGGGAGUCACUGGAUGGCUUUUGUCCUCAUUUUCUUCAAAAAUCCGUGUUUUCUGUCUCAAGGGAAAGUAAAUAAUGCCCCACGGGGAAAUUCGCAACAUCGCAUGUGAAACUCUAGUGCUGUUCAGCGUUUUGUAAGAUCAGGCUGGAUUUUCUGGCUAGACUGUUUCUACAGUCAUGCUCGAUGGAUAUGGAUUCUUAGAGUGCAUUCUUCCCUUCUGCCAGCUGAGAGAGUGUCUGGGGCCUAGAAUGGAAGACUAAAGAACCAUGUGCACCCCAUUCUCGGAUGGGUUUCUCAAAGUAUGAAC